This is a long non-coding RNA of Oncorhynchus kisutch (coho salmon), 3515 nucleotides long. RefSeq lists it as uncharacterized. Lineage: Eukaryota; Metazoa; Chordata; Actinopteri; Salmoniformes; Salmonidae. The transcript has 6 exons. The record is from RefSeq and is a predicted model, not a curated record.
ACAGUGUCAAUACUAUAGAUGGACAGCAGAGGUCCCUUUCUCAUGAAAUCUUCUACGGGACAGCUGGGAGAGAGCAAAGCUUGUGUGAAUAGACUUGCCGCACCCGCACCGCAACACGUCUUGAAACUUCCCCAGUUCAAUCCACAAGCUGAAUCUGCCAUCUGUCAGAAUGAACAUAGAGGCAUCUUGAUAACUGUCAGUUUUCUUGCUCAUAGUACAUACCAGUUAAUCUAUACCAUAACACAGAAAUACCUAAACUUGCAUGCAUGGUUGUUCAGUCAGUAGACUACAAUCGUUUGUGGUUUUAUUUUUCGGAAUGAAGUGAAUUACAUUUGUUGUUCAAUUAAAUAAUGUUCCGAUAAACUAUUUUAGCCGCUCAAUCAUGGUUUGAUUGUAUUUACACACCUGAAGUAAGCACACAAAUAUUGUCUUGACAUGCUGAGAACAUUUCUUGGUUUGAUUUCUUAGUAUUGAAUUGAAUAAUGAUAUGUUUCGAGACCACUGUUUCAACUGGUAAGAUACAGUAUGUGAACUGUAGGUGUGUCUGUGACAUAAAGACUUGCCCACACGUGUUUCAGGUGUUUCAUAACAGUCUGUCUAUCGCCGCCAACUGCCAAAAGAGUGGAAAAUUACCAACUGGCAAACAAUUUCUUAGGACUUAUGUAAGGAUUACUUGCAUGAAACAGUAUAAUAUUUAAAAGGAUUUACCACUCAAAAGGUAUGUGGAAAAUCAUGGUAGGUUGUAUUUUUAGUUGACUAUACCUUUAAAAUUGUGUUGAACUGAGAUGACAGGAAGUGUUGACCUGAGAUGAUAUGAUUACAUGAAGGCUUGGUCUUACAGGGUUUAUACUGGGGUUUACACUGAUAGUUAUAUUUUACAUUAACCCCCACCCCCCCACCCACCAACACAAACACACAAAGCGAGAUGCAGGGAUCGUGUGUUAGGUGGAGCUCUGUUUACUAUCUAAAGUGCUGACAGUUAGAUUUGAUUCACUAGUUCCUGCCCACUGUCUGUCUUUUUUUGCUCCUGUUAUUAUAUUUUCUAAAUUGAUGGGCUGAUCCUUACAAGAGCUUUCAGCCCACUUCACAUGCACAAACACAUUACAUACAGUACCAGUCAAAAGUUUGGACAAACCUGCUCAUUCCAGUGUUUUUCAUUAUUUGUACUAUUUUCUACAGUGUAGAAUAAUAGUGAAGAUAUCAAAACUAUUAAAUAACACAUAUGGAAUCAUGUAGUAACCAAAAAAGUGUUAAAAUAUAUUUUUGGGAUUUGAGAGUCUUCAAAGUAGCCACCCUUUGCCUUGAUGACAGCUUUGCACACUCUUGGCAUUUUCUCAUCCAGCUAGUGACACUGCCAAUGAUUUAUUUAGAAUUCAAGGCACACUUAAUCAGCAUGGCUACCACCAUUCUGUAUGGAUACGCCAUCCAAUCUGGUUUGGGCUUAGUGGGACGAUCAUUUGUUUUUCAACAGGUCAAUGACCCAAAACACACCUCCAGGCUGUGUAAGGGCAAUUUGACCAAGAAGGAGAGUGAUGGAGUGCUGCAUCAGAUGACCUGGCCUCCACAAUCACCCAACCUCAACCCAAUUGAGAUGGUUUGGGAUGAGUUGGACCGCAGAUUGAAGGAAAAGCAGCCAAUAAAUGCUCAGCAUAUGUGGGAACUCCUUCAAAACAGUUGGAAAAGCAUUCCAGGUAAAGCUGGUUGAAAGAAUGCCAAGAGUUUGCAAAGCUUUCAUCAAGGCAAAGGGUGGCUACUUUGAAGAAUCUAAAAUAUAACAUAUAUUUUGAUUUGUUUAACACUUGUUUGGUUACUACAUGAUUCCAUAUGUGUUAUUUCAUAGUAUUGAUGUCUUCACUAUUGUUCUACAAUGUAGAAAAUAGUAAAAAUAAAGAAAAACCCUUGAAUGAGUAGAUGUGUCCAAACUUUUGACUCGUACUGUACACACUCAUAGCAUGCAGACAAUCACCAAGAGAAUUCAUUGUAUGUUUUUCUAAUGUUAUCUCAAUUUAUUUGAGAUUAAAUGUGUAUUAUGCACUUGCAUUUUGAUGAAUGCUCUCAUCAUCUCAAAAUUCAGUUCAUGAUGUCCCUUUUUGUGGAUAAGUUCACUUCCAGUGUUCUACAGAGGGAGGAGUGACCCCAUAAGCCCCAUCUCCAUAGGUACUGUAUAACUAGUGUGUGUGUGUGUGUGUGUGUGUGUGUGUGUGUCUAAGGGGCGGGGGAUAGAUAUGGUAGCAGGUAGCAGCUUGUGUGUAUGGGAGAGGGUGUUUAUGUAAACCCAUGCUCUAUAGUAUAUAUAGGAGUGAGAGGUAGCUAAGAAAAGCAGAUCUCCUGUUUUGUCCUUUAUAAUUCUUGAUACUGACCCUGCUCUGCUGUAGCCAUGACGACCAUGCUGCUGAGCGCACUAAAAGCACUGCUCUGCUCCUUGGUUGUCACCGCUGAGGUCAUGCCCCAAGGAGACUUCAAUCUACAGGGGGUAGCAGGAAAGUGGUACGUGAUUGGAUUUGCCACUAAUGCCCAUCAACCACAAGGCCAGCAUGAAGAUGGGCAACGCCAUGCUGACACCAACUGCUGAUGGAGACCAGGAAAUGGCAUAUUCUAGCCGGAAGUAAGAGAGAAAGAGAGAGACCUUGUGCUGAUUCUGUAUUAACUGUAUUGUCUCUGUAGCGCUGAUGGCUGCUGCUGGAGAAUGAACCACCUGGCCAAGAAGACACUUCUGGGGGAAAUUAAUCUUCAAGAGCGAGCGCUGGAGUAAUGAAAAUGACAUGCGUGUCGUUGAAGUUAAGUAUGACGAGUAUGCUCUUAUUCACACCAAGACCAAGGGUGUUUCAGCUGUGCUCACCAACCUGUAUGUAUAUUUAGUGUGCCAUGUAUUGUACCGUGGGACAGACCUGAGCCCUGGCCUGCUGUAGAAGUUUAGGCAGUUCUCCCUGGACACUGGCUAUCCUCCCCCCAAAAAUGAUGAGUGUCCUGCUGUGAAAUUUCAUCCAUGUUUUUCACUUUCUAAACGUGCUCCCUUGAUCAGUCUGCAUGGCAUUGCUACUCGGCCGGUAGACCCAUGGCAACCAUUUACCACCUUUAGCUCCGUUGGCCCAUCAGGAUCCGCCUUCACUAGGCAAUUCAGAUGCAAGUUCAUCCCAGCGUCCAUGUUGGUGGAGAUGAAUUUAUGCACCUGCGCGUCCAUUAAACACUACCCCACGCUGGUGGGAAACUGGAGCUGCAUAGAGUACAGACUCCAAAAACUCACAAUGACCCUAUUGGCUUCUUCUGAAUACCUGUAACUCCCUGCAGAUGAUGCCACCCCCAUAAUCCAGCCAACAGCCUCCAUGCCUGCUCUGGAUCAUGUGUACCCAUUUUUAUGCUCACCUGUACUGUAUUGUACUAUACUGUAUUGUACUAUACUGUAUUUUAUACUUCCAUUGGUAAAUAUCUGUCUUUCUACUAAAAUCCGUUUUCACCUUUGACUAAAUGUAUUUUGGUACAAUACAAUGUAAAUAAACAUUUGACAUCUGACUUUA